GACAGAGGCCACGAACGUUGUUCGGAAUCACUGGGCAUAAAGCGCACGUAGGCGGCUAGGUCCGUCCGAUGUGAAAGCCCCCGGCUCAACCGGGGAAUUGCAUCGGAUACAGCCUGGCCUGAGGACGGUUGGGGUGAGUGGAACUCCUGGUGGAGCGGUGAAAUGCGUAGAUAUCAGGAGGAACACCGGUGGCGAAAGCGGCUCACUGGACCGUUGCUGACGCUGAGGUGCGAAAGCUAGGGGAGCAAACGGG
This 253-nucleotide ribosomal RNA is filed under the name uncultured bacterium. RNAcentral describes it as "partial 16S ribosomal RNA". It matches the Rfam family "Bacterial small subunit ribosomal RNA", at positions 524 to 776 of the family's 1533-position model. The record is from RNAcentral.